AGUUUAUUAGGUUUGUAAAGAACUCAACAGAUUAUCUUGUUUAAAAGCACUUUAAUUUUUUUUUUUUUAAGUUUUCCCUAACAUAUGGGGAAGGGAGAAACAGCUCCCCCGGGGCCACCUAGAGAGUCCAGUUUUCUUUUUAUUACUCUAUGCAAAGAUUCUCAGACAAUCUUGGUUGUAAAGCGUGUAUCUUUAUAUUCUUUUUCCUUUCAUUUUGUAUAACCACAGGGAGAACAACCUGGGAAGUAAAUGUUCUUUUGCCAUGCUUUAUCCAGAGUGCUUGGUUUGUACGAGUGUCUGCAAGCUGACUCCUGGAAACGGAGAAUCACCUGCUGCCCCAAACAGUCAGAAAUCCAGCAUCCCCCAGGACUGGGCAACUGCCAGAAUCUCUGUUCUGCAGCACAGCAUUUGGACAAAGACUCAAAAAUGUACCAAUUGCUAAGGUUUCCUCUCUGCAUUGGACCUUCCUGAUACCAGACCUUGCAAAUUCCAGCUGACUCAGCAUACCCAAAUGGUGCUCUGUAAGAACACUGGGCCUCACUUUCCUGUGCUGUAGGUAAGAAAGUUCAGGAAACUGAAUGCUGAGUUCACUGCAUUAUUUCCUUUCUUUCAAGGACCACAGCCCUGCACUUGCCCGACUCCAAAAAGUAGUCACUUUAUAUGUUUUGUCCAUUUCUUACUUUUUGUAUGGGUUAGGGGAGGGCAGAUCCAAUAUCCAUUAUUCCUCCGUGGCUAGAAUUAGAAAUCACUUUGUUUUGAAUCAUUUAAAAAACUAAUAAAUUAUCUGAAAGCAUUUAAACAAUAUGAGAUCAACCCAGACAGUGUCAGUUUGGCAUUCUACUAUUUUAGUGAAACUACAACUUAUGUAAAUAAUCUCUAUAAAUGUAAGUUUAUAAAUGUAAUGCACAUUUAUUAAAUUGUGAAAAAUAUAAUGCAUUUAUUUGAAUAAAUUCAAAAAUAUUUAUUGAAAUUUUUAUAGAAAGCAACUUUGAUUUUACAAAACUUUCUGUCAAAUUUACCUGGAUAUGCUGCCUUUCAAUUGUAUUUAAUAUCUGUAGUUAUCCUGCUGUUCUAUGUAAUUAACAUAACUAAAAAUGUUAAGGUACAACACAGUACAAUAGUUUCCCCUUAUCAGUGCUGUAUAUGUUUCAGGAUCCCCAGUGGAUGUCUGAAACCAUGGAUAGUACUGAACCCUGUAUCUACUAUGUCUUUUCCUAUAUGAACGUACCUAUGAUAGUUUAAUUUACAAAUUAGGCACAGUAAGAAAUUAACAAUAGUAACUAAUAACCAAAUAGAAUGAUUAUAGCAAAUAUUGUAAUAAAAGUUAUGUGAAUGUGACAUCUCUCUCAAAAUACCUCAUUGUACUGUACUCAUCCUUCUUCUUGUGAUGGUAUAAGAUGAUAAAGUGCCUACAUGAUGAGUUGCAGUUAGGUGAAGUUGGCUCUGUGACAUAGUGUUAGGCUAUUAUUCAUCUUCUGACAAUACAUCAGAAGGAUUGUCUGCUUCUGGACCACAGUUGACCACAGGUAACUGAAACCAAAACCUCAGGUAAAGGGAAAAUGCUGUAUGUAUUGCAUAUAAUCCAUUGAAAUCACAUCUUUAGAGUGUUACCUUUCUCUGUUAAAAGAAAAAGAUAAUAAAUAAUGAAGGGCCAGCUGCCACUUUGAAUUUCUAGCCUUACCAUUGCUUUGAUGCUCCAGAUAUGAAUUAGAAAAUUCUGCAAUAUGUACCAUAGUUUACAAGUCAAGAUUUACUUGUUAUGCACUUUUCUUGCAGAGCCCUGGGGUCUCAUGAGGAAUGAGCAAAGUUACUAUCUUCUGGAUGUAGAAGGUAUCUCCCAGAAAAGCAGGAAGAGAGGGAGUGGGGCAAGAUUGUGGUUUGGAGUCAGUCUAACGAGGAUGUAAAUAUUUUAUUGAGUAUAUCACUUUAGACAAAGUUUCUUAUUUCCCUGUGCCUUAUCUUCUAUUUUAAGCAUAAUGGAGGCAGAAUUUCCAACCUAAAUGAAUCGUUUUGAGAUUUAGAUGAUGUAGUAUAUACAAAGAACCCAUGUCAAUCCUGGGGCAUAGUAGAAACCCAUUGGUUGGGUGCAUCUAUUCUGUCCCUAUUCCAUUAUCAGCACUACUAAAAAAGUUUUCAUAUAUAUAUUUUAAUUUUAUAUGUGUGUAUUAUGUAUAUAUAAUAUAUAAUAUGGGCAUAUAUUUGUAGAAGAGAGAGUUAGAAGUUUUAAAUCACAUCUCCAUCCUGUGAAAUUGGAAAUUUACCACCUUUGUGCUUCAAUUUUCUAACCUACUCAAGAAGUGUUAAGUUCAGCUGCUUAGGAAGUUCCUGAGGAUGCAUUAGCUUUCUGCAGAAAAGUAGAGUUUUUGGAAACUCAGAGAAAGGAAAAAUGAAAUUCUGGGAAAUGAUUUAUUCAUGAAGGUCUUGCAGACGAAAGGCAUGGCUUUGGUACUACCUUUAACUGCCAUAUUCAUUUCCCAAAGUCUUAAGUUUGGGUUUCUCUCACAACCAUAAGUAUUUUUUGCUCUAAAAACAAAACAAGUAAACAUCUUGACUUGUAUAGAACCAGUCCCACAGCCAGGGUUACCUUUUUUGGAAGCUACAGUAUGCUUUGAUUCACUGUCACAGUCCAAAACAUAGUGCCUUUCAGGAGAAUGCUCCUUGGAGCAGGGAGUCCAAGUCCAGUUGGACAUCAGUGUGAACAUUGUCAUCAGCAUUGGCAAGAUCUUUUAACUUAAUGGAGGGGACAUCUAGUCACUGUGCCUUUCAGCAGGAGUGCCCUGUAGAGCAGUAACACAAGAUACCUGAAGUCUGAUGUUGAUAAACCUGAGUAUGUUCUCCUCUCCAUCUCAAAGUCCCAAAGCCCCCUUUUAGUCAGAAAGAAAGAGAUACUUUUAAAUAAAUGGGAGAAAUAGUAAA
This 2916-nucleotide long non-coding RNA is filed under the name Canis lupus familiaris (dog). RNAcentral describes it as "lncRNA (ENSCAFG00040005662.1)". Lineage: Eukaryota; Metazoa; Chordata; Mammalia; Carnivora; Canidae. The record is from RNAcentral.